AUGGGGAAGAAAGGUAUCGUGGUGGCGACCACCGUCAUCGCCGUGAUGACUGUCAUCUUCGGGGUCAUCAGCGCGGUUUUCUUGGGGCUGAGAAGCUAUCAGGAUGACCACGAUGACCGCAGCGUGUGUAAGUACGAGCGAUCGCCGGCGACGGCUUGCGGCGUCGUGGCGGCCGUGCUGGCGCUAAUUUAA
Molecule: ribosomal RNA, 192 nt
Filed under: Triticum aestivum (bread wheat)
Lineage: Eukaryota; Viridiplantae; Streptophyta; Magnoliopsida; Poales; Poaceae
Description: partial small subunit ribosomal RNA
Source: RNAcentral